GUUCUAGUUCUGCCUGAGGUAUGGCCUACACUACUGACUCUGAGGCGAAGUUUGCAGCCAAAGAGAGGGUUUAUCCUCCAAAAAGCCAAGCAAGAAGACAGGAAGACAAACCUCAAAUCUGCUUUCCUGGAAGGCCAGGGGCUGCAGUAUUUCUGGGAUAAGGAACAAAGUAGUAAGCACUCUGUGGAGCGAGGAAUCGUCAAGCCGUGACUGGAAAAAAAAAGUGGCUUUUUUGUUUUUUUUUGGUGCAGGCUCCUGAGGCUACGGGUUCCUGCAGGGAUCAAAACAUCGCCCAGCGGGCAUGCGCCUGCGCAGUGGAGGGUGGGUGGGCCUAUCCAGUGUUAACCCACUCAGCUCCAACAAGGCACAGGUGAGUCCAAGUUUCUAGACGAUUCGGGCAAACGUUGUUUAGGUUACUUGCCCCUAGAAGCAUGUGCAAGUUGCAAAUGACCUUGAUUAGUGAAGGACCUGUUUUCAACUGGAGUUGCUGAGGCCGGGCAGAAUGUACCCCAAUAUUUUAAUUUCUUCCCAUCCUACCAGGAGGAACCCCGCACCCUCUCCUCCACCACAGCGUUUGCCACUGUCAUAGUCUGCUUUCUGCCCCAAGACUGUCUUCCUUAGGGGCUAAGGUUCAAGUUCCAGCAACAUUUCCUGGGUGCUCGCUGGUUCCCACCGCCAUGCUCCUCCUCCACAGCCCUGAGAGACAUCGUCCUCCCCGUCCCAGAGAUGACGCGGAACAGGUCCCAACGCCGACGCACAGCAGGUGCCAGGCCAGGGAGAAGGUUCUGGAGAAUACACACUGAGUGGGGAGACUGAGAGCUCAUCGUUUUGUCUGUGAUGCUGCUAGAUACGGGUCUGGUUUGUCUCAAGUUUGAUGUUGCCAUGAUGCUCAGUGUUAUCUGCCAGCCCUUCAGAAAAAC
RNAcentral lists this long non-coding RNA (920 nucleotides) under Capra hircus (goat). Its description in RNAcentral is "lncRNA (ENSCHIG00000002675.1)". Lineage: Eukaryota; Metazoa; Chordata; Mammalia; Artiodactyla; Bovidae. The record is from RNAcentral.